ACUUUCCAAGUAUAAUCAGUAUAAGUGACUUCCAAUCACUAGGGCCCGGCUAAGAACUGGGGGAAAGAA
Molecule: transfer RNA, 69 nt
Filed under: Solenostomus paradoxus (harlequin ghost pipefish)
Lineage: Eukaryota; Metazoa; Chordata; Actinopteri; Syngnathiformes; Solenostomidae
Description: tRNA-Gly
Source: RNAcentral